Long non-coding RNA from Solenopsis invicta (red fire ant), 4501 nucleotides. RefSeq lists it as uncharacterized. Lineage: Eukaryota; Metazoa; Arthropoda; Insecta; Hymenoptera; Formicidae. The record is from RefSeq and is a predicted model, not a curated record. The transcript is spliced from 2 exons.
AAAAUAUUAAAAAAAUAUUGUUUCCUGAUAGGGUAGUACUAAUAACAGAUUUAUUUAAAUUUAGUAAUUUUCUCUUUUUCUGCGUAGUGAAUUUUCAUUCCGGAGAAUCGAAGAAUCGCACAGAAUUGUCACUCUUUUAGAAUGAAGUUUCGCGUUACGAAAUUUAGUGAGAAACAAAGACCUCGUUACUUCCCAUCUCUGAUAAACACUUUAACAGAACACGAUAUCAUAAAUACAACAAGUACUUCAGAAUGUACAUAAGUCUAUUUCGAUGCAAGGUCGUGAAAUCUUAAUCUUAAUUAUCUUUUGGUGUGCGCAAUAUUAAAACUAUUGCGGAAUAUCCUGAGCGUUUAUUUUUAAAGGUUCCGCUUCUAUUUGGAAUCAUUUGCCGCAUACCUAUUCAGGUUCUCACAUUCCGUUAUGUAAAAUCGUGUACUUAAUCGUAUUAGAUAUAUCCAUUAAAUGACGAAAGCGAAAUUCCUCGAAUAUAAUUCGCCUCCUUCCGCCGCAACAGAUAAACAAUCGAGCCACUCAGCUGCGGCGGCAUACGUAAUAUCUCAUACGGAUUCUUUCAGAAAGGCGUAAUCGUCGCGUCAGCAUAAACGCGGAUUUCUUUUUUUUUCCCAGGCUCUCUGGCACGUGUCGGCGAUUAACGCGCGCACAUGCGCGUCAAUCGGCCCGCCAAACGGUUCGCGCGUCGUCAUCUCGAGUCAUGGCAUCUAUUUCGCGCUUUUCGCUGACAGUGCUGAAAAUCAGGCUGCGUGACGUGCGCUAGAUAAAACGUGAACGAUAAUUCUGGUCUAUUCGCGGGAAAAACUCGAUUAAAGCGUUAAGAUUACACGGAGGAGCGGUACACGCGCGACGGCCGUCGCUUGUGUGAGCGACGAGGGCGGGCACGUGGAAGGCCGUCUUACGUCAUUCUGCCCCGUACGCUCGCUCUAUUAGAGAUGCAGGGACGACGAAUGCCUCUGCGCCCGGAGCGGCGCGGCGAGGCGACACGCGCGUAUACAGUGUAUACGUCGUACACGCGCCGCCGACCUGUAUAGACCGUCGCCGCCGUCGCCGCCGCCGCCGCCGCCGCCGCCGCCGUGGUCCGUGUGGUGCGACACGUGCGCGCACUGACAUCAUUCCCGACGUCGCCGUGGACACGUGUUAAUGAGAAAACGCAUCCUCGCUGCGUAUAAACUGUCGCCAAUUUUUCACGGUCGAAGGGGACGCAGCCCUAGAGGAGUAUCAGGGCGCUGAUAUAUAUUAGAGAUAUGGAAAAGUAGGACGAUAGCUCUUAUAGUGGUGCCAGGAGUCGGAGGGGAAUGGGACUAGGGUAACGUCUUAUCGGAUUUUGUGAUAAUUGAUCCCAGCUUAGAAAUGAUUAGUCGCACUAACAUCGAUAUAGCCGACGUCGAAUUCUAUUUGAUACCUUUGUUAUCUUCAACCUCAUCGUAAUUGCUUUUGUACCCCGACAAGUAUAUUGCGCAACUAUUGUGCAAUAAUGGUAUCACGAGUUGAUGAAAAUUUUGUAAUUACGCCGAGAUGAUACGCUACAACACACGCUGCAGUUUUAUCGGAAUAAAAUUUCUCAAUACUUUUCAAAAAUUAGACAAAUUGAAAUUUCAAGUAAAAUUAUUUUACAGUUGUUUCAAAAACCAUAUUCUUUAUUUGAAAUUUCCCCAUGAUGAGUAUGUAAUAUUUUAUAUCGCAAUACUUUUACAUUAGUAAUUAGGAAUAAUUAUGCAUUUUUAUAAGCAUGUGUAUAGAUUAAUUAUGUUUCUGAAUGUUUUAUAUGUAACAUAGCUAAAAUAUUUUUCUCAAUUGUUGAACAAUUUCUUUCUAAAUUUAAUUUUGCAAAUAUUUAUAUAUCGUUAAAAUGAUUCGCUAUAUCGUUAUAAUUUUGUCGAAAUGCUAUCUCGAAAUUAAUUGGACAAAUAGUUAUCAAUGUUUUGUAAAAGGUCAAUAUUUUUAUAUCUAUUUUUGUAAAUAUACCUAUAUAAUUGCAGAUAAUAUUCUUUUUAUACGAGAUUUCAUCAUAUAAUUUAAUAAAUGUCGUCUCGUGUCAGAGUAUUAAUUGAGCAAUCGCGAAUAUUUUUAUAAAAUUUUUAUCUUUUGGUCGAUUUUUUCUCGACUCGACGGGAAUUAAUUCGACUAAUCUUUCUGGUUGAUUAAUCCAUUUCUGGUUGAGAUAUGUUUCGUAUCAAUCGAUCCGCGUUAGCCGACCUUUAAUUCUGACAUUUUGUCUAAUUGCACAUUAAUUUUUAAUUUAAAUUUUAAUCUACGAGUCCGCAUUUUUUCUGGCACUUUCUAUACUUGGUACCUUCUAUACUCUUAUUUUCAAUAGGACAUUUGUUAAAUUAUAUGAUGAAAUCUUGCAUAAAAAUUAUAAUUUGCAAUCAUGUAGAUAUAUUUACAAAAAUAAAUGUAGAAGUUUUGACCUUUUAUAAAGCAUUGAUAAAUGAAUGCGCAAUUAAUUACAAAAUAUUAUUUCGGCAAAACAAAUGACAAUACGAUGAAUCAUCUUAAUAAUACAUUUACAUAAUUAAAUUUAGAAAGAAAUUCUUUAAUAAUUGCAAAAAUAUUUUAACACUAUUAUGUAUAAAGCAUUUUUAAAUUUAAUUACUCCAUUGUACAUAAAGUCAUAGAAAUAUAUGCUUAAAAUGUUUCUAAAACAUGAAAUAAUUAAAUUCAUAAGUCAAGUCUUGAGCUAAUAAAAAUAACGUUGUCAAAAAUAAAAAUUAUCUUUAAUUAUAAACAUUGAUUCAUUUGAAACAUUUAACACGUUUUGGAUGUAUUAAUCUUUUCUCAGCCGUAAAAUAAACAUAUUAUCAAAAUAAACGCGAGACACUUGCAUUAACACAAAAUAAGUUAAACGAAUAAAUGUAAUAACUGAAUUAAUUAUAAACGCAAUUAACAAUUCAGCUUGAUCAAAAAGUUAAUACAGUCCUGUAUAUCGAUAAUCAAGUUGGAAAAAACUGUUGCUAGUUUUUUCGUUCGUAUAAUUCGUCUCGCGUGACAUUCAAAGGCCAACAUCAGAUUAAUGAUUCUUAAAUAAUUUAGUUUAGAUUUGAAUAUUAUAAUUGACUGUAUACCACGAAACUACUCUUUUUAUCGAUCGACACAAUCAAUUAUUUGACCUUAUGUUAAUCAAUUAUUUAACUCUACGUUUUUGUAAUUAUUGCGCUAAGAUAAUAAUGCAACAAUUUUAUCGCAAUAAAAUUUUCUAAAUAAUAUUUGUCAAAAAUUAGACAAAUCUAAGUUUGAGAUAUAAAUAUUUUACAAUUAUUUAUAAAACCAUUUGAUUCUUUAUUUCAAACGUCAUCUUAGCGCAAAAUUUUCGUCAGUUCAUCUAAGAUGACAUCUAAAAUGAAAUAUUUGCAUAAUGUAUCUAUCAGGAAUGAGAUCCCUUUCUUUACUCCUUUAUACCUUUCUGUAUUAUUUUAUCGUAUAUUUUAUAAGUACAUUUAUGUUACUUAUAUGUACUCAUAGUACAUAUAAAUUACACUUAUGUUAAUUGUACCUAGCUGCAUGUGUUUGCAAGAUUUAUUAAAUUUGUUUCUCAUCUUAUAGCUCAGUUUCACCAUUUUCGCAAUUUUCUCUUUUCUGUUAAAUCCCAAUGCGCGUCAUUACAAGUACGAUAAGUACGUUAAGUACUAACUUCUCGAAACUUUUCAUACGUAUUAUGUACAACAAAUGCGUGGUAGAUGUCUCGACAACCACUGGCUGUCCUCUCAAAUUCUUUGACCAAGUCGUAACCAAUUUCUUUUCUUAGAAGAUAUAAAUUCUAGAAGAAAUACUCUAGUAGUUUAUGUGGCAAUUGCCUAUUGAAAAUGAAAGACUUUUUGUGACGCAACCAAAUAUUGAUUAGGAAUACUCUGACAGAAUUUUAAUGGCUUAUUAGUGUACUAGCAUAUUAAGUGAUUCGAUUUACAUGUAAAUUAAAUACGCAGUAAGAACUUUGCAGUUUAGAUAGUCUCAUAUAUUAAGCUGUCGUUAGUUUGACAACAAAAUGACAUCUCUAACAUUUUUGAUAAAGUUUUUGAUAAAAUUUGGAUACCAAAAUAACAAUAGAUGACGUUAGCUUGGGUUAUCAAAGAACUUGUGCUACUUUAAAAAAUAAAUAUUUAUUGAUAUAAUAAUUAUUAAUAUAUUUGUACUUUUGAAAUAGAAAUAUGAUUGAUAUCGAGAUUGAACUAAUAACCGUAACACAUUUUUUUUCAACUUACUGAGAUUAUUUCCCUGUUUAUGAUAAUUUUCUAAUUCUACUUCGGCUGCUAGUUUACAAUUUACUUUUGCGUUAUCUGUUUAAACUUCACACUUAUCUAUAUUUUUUCUUGUUGUAUUGCGUUGCGAGUUUACGUCUCGUAAUUAUCUGAAUAAAUUAUCUGAAUAAAAAUGGAAAGGACAAGAAACAUUGUAAGAAGAAAAAAAAGGAAACAUUUUGUUAUUUUGUUUCACGGAAAAAGAAUGUAAACAUUAUUGUAUCAAAUAAAAAAAUUGCAUAAUUUGAAAA